UUUGAAAUCUUGACGUUUUGAAGUUAUUGUAAGCAUGGUAACUUUUUAAUGAAAAUGUGUCUGUUUAUCAACCCUAAAAAAUUGAUUACGGCAUCUCAAAAUUUUGCCGAAUAAAUUCUUUCGCAAAUGUGCAAAAUAUGAACAGACUUUUAAUCAUUGCAUUCAUAUUUUUUAGAUUUGCUUAAACAGGUGAUUCAAAAAAAUUAAUGAAUCGGCCAAUUUAUUAUCCAUACCAAGGCGGUGGGACACUCAGUGAGUGAACAGCUUAGCCAACCUCUCGUAAUGACGUUGUAAAAUUUUAUUGUAUACAACAGAAACGUUUCUACUAUAAUUGUCGGCGCAAUGCAGUGAAGGAGUGUAACUUAUUUUGCGUAAAUACUUGUUUUUAUUUCUAUACAGGUAGUGCUGGUGUAGCAGUGAAAACAGAGACCAUGGUUGGGAAAAAGAGACAAAUUGACGCUAGUGGUUCCUGGAGCGUAAAGAAGCCAAGGGCCACACCUCUGGUAGCCACUGCCAAAUAGAACCCUAGGAAGCGGGAGCCAGCCGUCGAGCGAUCAUCUUCGGACUGCAGAAUUAUCGAAAAAUUCCUCUAGGGCAUCCGCACCGAUCAUUAUGCUCCCAAAUUUCUGAAACAGUGUCGACUAUUGAAUGACCGCCUCACUCGUUGGUCCUUGCUUCUAAACGAAUUCGACUACGAAGUCACACACUCCAGGGAAACAAAAUGUCACUGACACCCAAAGUGAUACUGCCGCUGUAUUUCUACACACAGGUACAGAAGGACACUCUGAAGACGCUUGGGGGCGACUGUAGUGGCCCACUUUGUAUUCAAAUUUAAAGAAAAGCGCGCCCAACUGACGAAGGUGAAGAAGUUAGCAAUUAUUUUUUUUACUUGUUUUUAUUGUUUCAGUUUUUAUUCAUCUUAUUUUCACCCUGGUUUUGCCGUUGGAGCCGCAAACCACCGCUGCCGUCUUCCGUGGGGCCGAGAAUCACUUCUUCCCUCUCGGAAGGAGGAACGUUUGGGGCGGUAAGAACGCUGGGCGUUUAGUCGAACUGGACAGAAUUGGACAGGUACCCGGUGCGAACCACCCAGAAGGCAGUUUGGGGUGGAAAUCACCACGACCCGGGGCCCCGCUGUAGAAGAUCUCCAUCAGACGUUUGUCGCAUCGUAAUCUCGAACAUAUUUUCUGUGGGAGCAUCAACUGUGGCGAAAAUUCUAUCAACAGGGGACCAAAAUUUAUAAACAUCACUAUCUGGCAAGCGAAAACCAACAGAUUUAUUUACAAAUUUUGUUUCGGAAAGACCUGCAACGACAAAUUUGGCAACUUAAUGCAAAAAACGAAUAUUUCACUGUUGAUACUCUUUUGGCAUAUUCUAGGGAACAGUCGGAAUUUAACGGAGCGCGAAGCACAUUAUACAAAAUUCUUGAGUCAAUGGGUUAUAAACACAGCGAAGUAAAUGGUCGCAAAAUUCUAUGUGAACAAAAACAUGUCGUUGCAGCCAAAAUUACUUUUUUGAGAACAUAUUUACAGUUUCUAAAUUCUUGUGAAAAUUUGACUUUCGUGUAUUUGGAUGAAACAUGGAUCUAUCAAAAUGGUUCGUCCAUUCGUCGCUGGGUGCACGACACUGAUCUAAAAAGCAGUCCCACCAAAAUUAAAAGUGAAGGAUCAAGGUUUACUAUUAUCCACGCGGGUUGUUCAACGGGGUUCUUGGAUGGUUGUAACAAUUUUUUAAAUUCAAAAAAUAACGAUAGAGACUAUCAUAAAACGAUGGACGGGACAAUUUUUCAAAAUUGGGUGGUUAAUCAGCUCAUUCCUGCUUUGGCAAAGUUGAACCAAAAAUGUGUGGUGGUUUUAGACAAUGCACCGUAUCAUUCGGUUCAGUUGGAUAAACCACCCACUUUUUCUAGUAAAAAAUGUGAAAUGCAGGAAUGGUUCUUUAAACAUAGAGUUGAAUUUGACGAAAAAUUUUCGAAGAAACAGUUGUGGGAUUUAAUUAAACCCUUCAGAAACAAUAGAAAAAAAAAGAUAUUUGGUAGACGAGAGAUUAAGAGAAAGUGGCCAUGAAGUUCUUAGAUUACCUCCGCACCAUUGUCAAUAUAAUCCAAUUGAAAUGGCGUGGGGAUUUUGUAAGAACUAUUACAACAAGCAUAUAAAUUCUCAACCUUCAUUAAAAAAUAGGGUGGAGAAUUUAUGGCUUGAGGCGCUUUGUAACUGUACUCCAAGCAUGUGGCAAAAUUUUUGUAAACAUUGUGAAAAACUUAUUUUGGCAGAUUGGGAAAAAAAUAUGGGAAAUCUUUCGUACGAAUCUAUACCUCCUUUCAUUACUUCGCUAGGUGAAUCUGAUUCAGAAUCUGAAUUUGAAAAUGAUACAGAUUUUCAUGGCGAAAUAAUGGAAAUGGAGUGAAUUGUAGCUUGUCGGGGGGUGAUAUUUUUACGCAUCUUUCGUUCUAAAUUUACCAAGGUAGUAUAUGAAAAACCACCUGACGUACAACAAAAUAAGUAUAAUUUCAGUUAGAUCAUCCACGUUGUUACUUUGCACCAAAUUUUAAGCAUUUUCAUUUUUUUUGUAACUCUUCAUAGACCUGGAGAAGGCGUAUAGUAACGUUCUUAUUAAUAAGCGUUUGGAAGUAUUUAGUAAAAGCAAAUAAAGAGCACUUACGUAAGCAUUAGUAAUAGCUAUAUAAAUAAAUCAUUCAAUUUAAGGCCGGAAAAAUGUUUCAGAAGAGCUAAACCCAUCAAAGCACUAGAGCAAGGUUGUUGUCUUUUACCAACCCUUUUAGUAAUCUUAGAAAAGUGAAAAAAGAAGUUGGAAGAUUUGGAAAUAGGCUGUUCACAAAGAUCGAAAUUUCCAUUUCUAAGAAAAGUGGGCGACCAGAACGAACUGAUGAUUGAGAAUUAAAGAUGAGAUGCUAAAUGUGGCAUGCGACAAUAGUCGUAUGUAGAACCCCCAUUCACAUAAAAACAAUGUUUAAGUGAAAUUUUAGUGUUUGUUCCUUACAUAUGAAAUAAACACUUACAAAAUGCCGAAUAAUUAUUUUAAAUAGCGUAUACAUAGUUUUAUGCUUUCUAAGAAAUGGAUACCGUUAACUUGGUCAUUGCUACUGAAAACUGAAAGUAUCGGCAACAAUGUUUAUAUUUCUGGCAUAUUUUUUAACCUUUAAUUCAAUAAAACAUAACCUAACGAAAAAAGUUCAGGGAAUUUUCAGCGGUGACUUUGACUUCCUGCACUCUUCCCGCUCCGCAUUCCGCCAUUUCAAAACACAACGCAGGAUCCUACAUUUGGUGCCGAUUACAGUUCAUGGUCACUUUUCGAAUUUUUCGCGGGAUUUUCAAAUUUUGUGCGCAUGUUUGGAGGGGAUAAGUAAUUUCACCCGGCACUACACAUUACAUUUUGUAAUUGCACCUUAAUUAUGAGUUUUGUGACAAGUUAUAAGACGAGAUGUGUGUUUUCAACCCAUUUUUCAACCUUGUGAGAGCAGACUCAGAAACUAUACUAAUUUUGAAAUUUAUCUUUUCAUUUAUCUGGAAAUCGUGGUGGCCUCCUAAAUUAGGAAUAAUAAUUAUUAUUUCUUGUAUCCAAUUAAUUUUUUUCUUGAGUGAUGAAAUAAUUAAAAAGGUCGAUUCCACGAAUUCUACGACGGGACCCAUAGCCGAGCUGUUUACUUAUGACCCGAUGAAGACAUACGAGUUUUGGAGGUACUUGACGUACAUGUUCGUGCAUACAGGUUAUGCACAUCUCUUUGAAAAUUUGGUCUUCCAAAUCAUCAUCGGCAACUUACUUGAAAAGAACCAGGGCUGGUGGCGGGUUUUCGUUAUUUAUUUCGCAGGAGUGGUUGCUGGUUCCCUGGGUACUUCCAUUAUAAAUCCCACCCGCUCAGUGGUGGGGGGCAGCGGCGGUGCCUUCUCAAUUUUCACUGCCUGCAUCCCUGCAGUAAUCAUGAAUUGGAAAGAAAAGUGCCUUUCAAAAACACAACUCGCAAUGUUGUUUUCUGUUAUUGUUCUAGUCGUUGGUUUUGUCAUGUACAUCAUACAGGAUUGGUUCAAAGAGACCGCACACGUUGCUCACUUUUUUGGGGCUUUGGCAGGUUUCUUAGUCGGCAUAGUUGUUUUAGAGGAUGUAACAAAUACAGACACAGGAAAGAUAAUAUGGUACAUUGCCUUGGCUGUAAUAGUGGUGCUGGCCGGAAUCUAUUGGAACAUUUCCUGCAGGGAUUGUUUCUCCAAACAAAUUUAAAGAGUGCUUUUCAUGUUUUUUUUUUUUUGUAAUAAAAAUUUACAAAAUUA
Long non-coding RNA from Zophobas morio, 4283 nucleotides. RefSeq lists it as uncharacterized. The transcript has 4 exons. Lineage: Eukaryota; Metazoa; Arthropoda; Insecta; Coleoptera; Tenebrionidae. The record is from RefSeq and is a predicted model, not a curated record.